UACGUAGGGUGCGAGCGUUAAUCGGAAUUACUGGGCGUAAAGGGUGCGUAGGCGGUUUGAUAAGUCUGAUGUGAAAUCCCCGGGCUCAACCUGGGAACGGCAUUGGAGACUGUCAAGCUAGAGUGCGUCAGAGGGGGGUAGAAUUCCACGUGUAGCAGAGAAAUGCGUAGAGAUGUGGAGGAAUACCGAUGGCGAAGGCAGCCCCCUGGGAUGACACUGACGCUGAAGCACGAAAGCGUGGGGAGCAAACAGG
This 253-nucleotide ribosomal RNA is filed under the name uncultured bacterium. Its description in RNAcentral is "partial 16S ribosomal RNA". It matches the Rfam family "Bacterial small subunit ribosomal RNA", at positions 524 to 776 of the family's 1533-position model. The record is from RNAcentral.